CAGUUGAAGAGGAGGGCGUGGUUUCCGCCAUUUGGCGGGGCCUUUGUCGCUCCCACCAGAGCUUGGGAUCUGUCUCCUCUCUUCUACGUUCUUCACCUCGGGAGCCCUUGGUGACUCUGUGACGGCCUCUGUUGCCCUGUGAUCUGCAGGUCGGGAGAGACGCACAGCUAAGAUGCCAGGACAUCCUGAAAGCUGGGAAAGGCUCUUGCCAUCUCUAAGCUGGACCUGGUGACUUUUUUGGAGGGAAAGAAAGAGCCCUGGACUGUGAAGAGUGAGGAGACUAUAGCUGCACAGCCAGUCCAGAUGUAUAAUCUCAUCCCUGAACAUGUCUGAUGGUGUGAUUAUGACAUAUGACUUUACCUGGCAACAGAGUGAGUUGAUGCUCCCUCCUGAGCCCAGCCCACAGAAAGGAUUGUGACAUAUCGCUGCACCCAGAAUUGAGGUGAUGUAACUAUUCCACUGCCCUGGCACUGCCCACAGAAGACAUUGUGACAUAUCGCUGGGUCUUGUACCCAGGUGGUGUGAAUCUUCUCUCCAGCCUUGGCUCUUCCGCAUGUGGCCCAUUGUGACAUAUUACUGGGUCCACAACCCAGGUGAUGUAACUCUACUGCUUAGGCCCUGCCUAUAGAGGACAUUGUGACAUAUCCCUGCAUCCAUCACACAGGUUUUUGCCCACAGGGGAUAUUGUGACAUGUCACUGGGCCUAAUACUAAGGUGACAUUACUCUUUUGUCAUGGCACUGCCCUCAGAAGGCAUAGUGAUGUAUUACUGGGCCCAGAACAAAUGUGGUAUGAGUCUCCUGCCUGGACCCUGCCUACAAGGUGCAUUGUAACAUACCUGGG
Piliocolobus tephrosceles (Ugandan red Colobus) is the source of this 842-nucleotide long non-coding RNA. RefSeq lists it as uncharacterized. NCBI's taxonomy places the organism in Eukaryota, Metazoa, Chordata, Mammalia, Primates, Cercopithecidae. The transcript is spliced from 4 exons. The record is from RefSeq and is a predicted model, not a curated record.